AGUGGACGCUGGCGGUAGGCCUAACACAUGCAAGUCGAACGGCAGCACAGUAAGAGCUUGCUCUUACGGGUGGCGAGUGGCGGACGGGUGAGGAAUACAUCGGAAUCUACUUUUUCGUGGGAGAUAACGUAGGGAAACUUACGCUAAUACCGCAUACGACCUACGGGUGAAAGCAGGGGAUCUUCGGACCUUGCGCGAUUGAAUGAGCCGAUGUCGGAUUAGCUAGUUGGCGGGGUAAAGGCCCACCAAGGCGACGAUCCGUAGCUGGUCUGAGAGGAUGAUAAGCCACACUGGAACUGAGACACGGUCCAGACUCCUACGGGAGGCAGCAGUGGGGAAUAUUGGACAAUGGGCGCAAGCCUGAUCCAGCCAGACCGCGUGGGUGAAGAAGGCCUUCGGGUUGUAAAGACCUUUUGUUGGGAAAGAAAAGCAGCAGGUUAAUACCCAGCUGUUCUGACGGUACCCAAAGAAUAAGCACCGGCUAACUUCGUG
This 492-nucleotide ribosomal RNA is filed under the name uncultured bacterium. Its description in RNAcentral is "partial 16S ribosomal RNA". It matches the Rfam family "Bacterial small subunit ribosomal RNA", at positions 29 to 507 of the family's 1533-position model. The record is from RNAcentral.